AGAAGAUCGUAUGAGCCAUGAGUAACUAAGGUCACACCAGGCAAUUUACAGAGCUCAGCCGCAAAGGCUGCUCUUCUUGCUCAGGGCCAGAUGUGAAGUCAGAGAUCAAGAAGGUAGGCAGGUGUGGUGGUGAAUGCCUAUAAACCCAGCUACUUGAGAGGCUGCGGCAGGAGUCCCACAGGUUUGAGUCCAGCCCGGGCAACUUAGUAAGAUUCUGUCUCAAAAUCACAAUUUUAAAAGGGAAUGUAGCUCAGUGCUCUCUGGGUUCAAUAUCCACCCACAGGAAAAAAACAGGAUGCAAAUCAUUAGUUCUUUGCUUAAAUUAGUGAUGACGAACCUGGAUUGAAACCAGCAACACGGCUGUGGAUGAUUUCAUCAAAUCAAAUUAACUUGCAGCCACAGAGCCCACAGUUCUAAUAUUAGAAGGAGAGAUUUACCCAGGGCAACACAGAGAGACGCGCCUCCCAUUUUUUAUUCGAUUUAUACCAUAGGCUUCCAGAUCUUUAAGAGGUUCACUGGACCAUACCAGCUCAGCGCAUGUGGCCCUGCUUCUGCAGGUGAUGAGACAGGCAAUUUGAAAGCACGGGGUUCAAAUGAAAGCCUGCAGCUGCCGAAUUCCAAAUUAAUUGCAUGAAAAUUCAGCGUCUCAGUAACCCUGAAUGUGCAGAGCCCAUUAAGCUGCAUUUCUCCCCGGAGCCCCACGGAACUGUCCGUGGCAACUCAGGAGGGCUGUUAGGAACGGAGGACUGGAUCUUCCCCUGGGGCUGAUUGAACAAAGGCGAGCACUCCCACUGCUGAGCAAAGAAAGGGAAGAGUGAAAACACAAAAGCAGAAAAGCCCAC
Molecule: long non-coding RNA, 842 nt
Filed under: Fukomys damarensis (Damara mole-rat)
Lineage: Eukaryota; Metazoa; Chordata; Mammalia; Rodentia; Bathyergidae
Description: lncRNA (ENSFDAG00000028952.1)
Source: RNAcentral